RNAcentral lists this signal recognition particle RNA (215 nucleotides) under Butyrivibrio sp. DSM 10294. RNAcentral's name for it is "signal recognition particle sRNA large type". It matches the Rfam family "Bacterial large signal recognition particle RNA". From Rfam's summary of the family: The signal recognition particle (SRP) is a universally conserved ribonucleoprotein involved in the co-translational targeting of proteins to membranes. Lineage: Bacteria; Bacillati; Bacillota; Clostridia; Lachnospirales; Lachnospiraceae. The record is from RNAcentral.
CUAAAAUUACUAAUUUUAAGUAUAUUUAUAUAGCGGCUUUGCGAGAGGUGUAUGUAGCAGUCCUUCUUGUUUAGCAGCGGGUCUUAUGCAAUGGGAAUCUGCGAACCGUGUCAGGUCGGGAACGAAGCAGCACUAAACAGAACCUCUCAUGUGUUGUAAGGGUGCCUGUUGCUUGCGGGGGACGUGCAUGCAUCUCUCCCAGAGCCGCUUUUUGG